RNAcentral lists this ribosomal RNA (550 nucleotides) under uncultured bacterium. RNAcentral describes it as "bacterial SSU rRNA". It matches the Rfam family "Bacterial small subunit ribosomal RNA", at positions 254 to 796 of the family's 1533-position model. The record is from RNAcentral.
GAGGUAGCGGCUCACUAAGGCGACGAUCGUAGCCGGCCUGAGAGGGCGGACGGCCACACUGGGACUGAGACACGGUCCAGACCUUUACGGGGGGCAGCAGUCGGGAAUUGUUCGCAAUGGGCGCAAGCCUGACGACGCAACGCCGCGUGGAGGACGAAGAUCUUCGGGUCGUAAACUCCUGUCGAGCGGGAAGAACGACCCGCGAGCCAAUACCUCGCGGGUGUGACGGUACCGCUAAAGGAAGCCCCGGCUAACUCCGUGCCAGCAGCCGCGGUAAUACGGGGGGGGCUAGCGUUGUUCGGAUUUACUGGGCGUAAAGGGCUCGUAGGCGGCCGCUUGUGUCGGUUGUGAAAUCCCUCGGCUCAACCGGGGAACUGCGACCGAAACUGAGCGGCUCGAAGCCGGGAGAGGGAUGCGGAAUUUCAGGUGUAGCGGUGAAAUGCGUAGAUAUCUGAAGGAACACCCGUGGCGAAGGCGGCAUCCUGGACCGGUCUUGACGCUGAGGAGCGAAAGCUAGGGUAGCAAACGGGAUUAGAUACCCUGGUAGUCA